CAGUCGAGGGGUAUAGGUUUUCGGACCUAGAGACCGGCGCACGGGUGCGUAACGCGUAUGCAAUCUACCUUUUACAGAGGGAUAGCCCAGAGAAAUUUGGAUUAAUACCUCAUAGUAUUAUUGAAUGGCAUCAUUUAAUAAUUAAAGUCACAACGGUAAAAGAUGAGCAUGCCUCCCAUUAGCUAGAUGGUAAGGUAACGGCUUACCAUGGCAACGAUGGGUAGGGGUCCUGAGAGGGAGAUCCCCCACACUGGUACUGAGACACGGACCAGACUCCUACGGGAGGCAGCAGUGAGGAAUAUUGGUCAAUGGGCGCAAGCCUGAACCAGCCAUGCCGCGUGCAGGAUGAAGCAUCUAUGGUGUGUAAACUGCUUUUGUACGAGAAGAAACACUCCUACGUGUAGGAGCUUGACGGUAUCGUAAGAAUAAGGACCGGCUAACUCCGUGCCAGCAGCCGCGGUAAUACGGAGGGUCCAAGCGUUAUCCGGAAUCAUUGGGUUUAAAGGGCCCGUAGGCGGUUUUGUAAGUCACUGGUGAAAGCCCAUCGCUCAACGGUGGAACGGUCAUUGAUACUGCAAGACUUGAAUUACUACGAAGUAACUAGAAUAUGUAGUGUAGCCGUGAAAUGCUU
This 631-nucleotide ribosomal RNA is filed under the name uncultured bacterium. RNAcentral's name for it is "bacterial SSU rRNA". It matches the Rfam family "Bacterial small subunit ribosomal RNA", at positions 59 to 691 of the family's 1533-position model. The record is from RNAcentral.